RNAcentral lists this ribosomal RNA (649 nucleotides) under uncultured Bacteroidota bacterium. RNAcentral describes it as "bacterial SSU rRNA". It matches the Rfam family "Bacterial small subunit ribosomal RNA", at positions 100 to 747 of the family's 1533-position model. Lineage: Bacteria; Pseudomonadati; Bacteroidota. The record is from RNAcentral.
AGACGGGUGAGGAACACGUACGCAACCUCCCUCAAACCGGGGCACAACCUUGAGAAAUCAGGGCUAAUUCCCCAUAACAUUGCGAAAGGGCAUCCGAUUGCAAUUAAAGAUUUAUCAGUUUGAGAUGGGCGUGCGUCUGAUUAGGUAGUUGGUGAGGUAACGGCUCACCAAGCCGACGAUCAGUAGCUGGUGUGAGAGCACGACCAGCCACACGGGCACUGAGAUACGGGCCCGACUCCUACGGGAGGCAGCAGUAAGGAAUAUCGGUCAAUGGGCGAAAGCCUGAACCAGCCAUGCCGCGUGAAGGAUGAAGGCCCUCUGGGUUGUAAACUUCUUUUAUCUGUGAAUAAACGUUCCGUUUCUACGGAAUUUGAAGGUAAUAGAUGAAUAAGCACCGGCUAACUCCGUGCCAGCAGCCGCGGUAAUACGGAGGGUGCAAGCGUUAUCCGGAUUUACUGGGUUUAAAGGGUGCGUAGGUGGGUUGGGUAGUCAGUGGUGAAAUACUUUCGCUUAACGAAGGAACUGCCAUUGAUACUCUCAAUCUUGAAUACAGUGGAGGUGGGCGGAAUGCGUCAUGUAGUGGUGAAAUACUUAGAUAUGACGCAGAACACCUAUUGCGAAGGCAGCUCGCUACACUGUGAUUGACACU